This is a non-coding RNA of Marmota flaviventris (yellow-bellied marmot), 3240 nucleotides long. NCBI's taxonomy places the organism in Eukaryota, Metazoa, Chordata, Mammalia, Rodentia, Sciuridae. The record is from RefSeq and is a predicted model, not a curated record.
GAGGAAGAAAAUACUGGGUUUGCUGGGGAUAAGUUUCUCAAGAUUCUAGGUGCGGAUUUUUAGAACUUUUUGUGAUAUGUUUUGACCAGGAUAGAAUCAGAGAUUUUUUUCGCCUCCCUUGAAAGAGCCAGCAUCUCUAGUGAGUUCGUGUGUGGCGCAGGGCGAAUCUCGGGACUUCAAUUAAGAAUCCCGCGGAGAAAGCCGGUCUGCGCUGUUCCUUGGUGGCGACUUUGGUAAGGAGCUGAGCUUAUGCUUUAGUGGCUUACUAUGGCCCAGCGGGCAGUGUGGCUUAUACGCCACGAACCAGGAACUCCACUUUGUGGCACCGUGAGAUUCUCCAGACGUUAUCCAACCGUUGAAAAGAGAGCCAAAGUAUUCAAUGGAGCAAGUUAUGUGCCUAUUCCUGAAGAUGGUCCCUUUCUUAAAGCACUCCUUUUUGAACUUAGAUUAUUGGAUGAUGAUAAGGACUUUGUAGAGCGUCGUGAUAGUUGUACACACAUCAAUAAAACAACCAUCUAUAGACUUUCAUUCGGAGGUGAAGAACUCUGGCCAGUGGUUGCUUUUCUGAAGAAUGGCAUGAUAUAUGCUAGUGUUCCACUUGUUGAACAAACUCUCUCCCCUCAUCCACCAUUAAUUAGCAUCAGUGGAAUUUCACAAGGCUUGGAACUUCUUUUUGGUAUACAGGAUUUUCUUUAUUCUAGUCAAAAAAAUGAUACUGAGCUAAAUACAAAAUUGAGCCAGUUGCCUAAUUUGCUUCUUCAGGCUUGUCCAUUUGGUACUUUGUUAGAUGCCAACUUACAGAAUUCAUUGGAUAAUAUUAAUUUUGCUUCUGUGUCACAGCCACAGAAACAGCCAGCUUGGAAAGCUGGAACAUACAAAGGAAAACCACAGGUUUCUAUUUCUAUUACUGAAAAGGUAAAAUCCAUGCAAUAUGAUAAACAGGAUAUAGCAGAUACAUGGCAAGUUGUUGGAGCAGUCAUUUGCAAGUGUGAUUUAGAAGGAAUCAUGCCAAAUGUCACCAUCAGCUUGAACCUCCCUACCAAUGGAUCUCCACUUCAAGAUAUUCUAGUUCAUCCUUGUGUGACUUCUCUUGAUUCUGCCAUUCUGACCUCUAGCAGCAUUGAUGCAGUGAAUGAUUCUGCAUUUAGUGGGCCUUAUAAAUUUCCACUCACUCCACCUUUAGAGUCAUUCAAUUUAUGCUACUAUACUUCCCAGGUCCCUGUACCACCAAUUUUGGGUUUCUAUCAAAUGAAAGAAGAAGAAAUACAACUAAAAAUAAAAGUUAAUUUAAAACUUCAUGAAAGUGUGAAAAAUAAUUUUGAAUUCUGUGAAGCUCAUAUACCUUUUUACAAUAGAGGUCCAAUUACACAAUUAGAAUACAAAGUUAGUUUUGGCCAGCUUGAAGUAUUUCGAGAGAAAAGCUUACUGAUCUGGAUUAUUGGCCAGAAGUUCCCCAAAUCAAUGGAAAUUAGUCUUUCUGGAACUAUAACCUUUGGAGCCAAGAGCCAUGACAAACAACCAUUUGACCAGAUUUGUAUUGGAGAUACAGCAUAUGUAAAGCUUCAUUUUAGCAUCUUAGAUUACACACUCACCGGAUGUUAUGCGGAUCAACAUUCAGUUCAAGUUUUCGCAUCAGGAAAACCAAAAAUAAGUUCAUACCGGAAACUAGUGUCUUCUGAUUAUUACAUCUGGAAUUCUAAAGCCCCUGCUCCAGUAACCUAUGGAUCAUUAUUACUGUGAUUUUUUUAAUAUUUAAAUGGGAUUUAUACAAUAGUAACACAGCAUAAAUGAAAUCAUAGUUUUUAUAUCUAUUGUGUAUUCAUAUAACCUGUAAGUGAAAAAAUCUGAAGGAUUUUAAUUAUAAAAUAUUCAUACUUGAAAUUUUUUAAUCUGAUAUAGUUUGAAAGAAUGUCAUAAUAUAUUAUGAUAUUUUUGUCAUAUAACAUUAUUAUAAUAUAUUGCAUAUUAUGUUAUAUAUCAUAGCAUUAAUAUAUAAUUAUAUAUUAUAUUAUAGUAUAUCAUUAUUGUUAUAUAAUAUUAUUGUUGUAAAGGCUAAUAUCUCCUGUGUUUGUUACCCUUUCGUUUUCUGUCACUGUGAUUCAGAAUACAAAGAAUUCGUGAUUCACUCUGACUUAUUGAAGACUCAUCCUGGGUCAACAUGCUGUACAUGUUCCUUCCCACCCCUAUAGCAGAUAACUGCUAAUCAAUCACAACCCUCUUCCUACUGUGAGCCUUCCUGGAAAACUACGGAAAAUCUGAGGAGUACUGGAAAAGUAUAGAGAUGAUGGAGAACCCCAUGCCAUCUGUUGCCAUUCCAUUCCAGCAAGACUACAGAACUAAACCAACUCAUGUUUUCAUCCCUUCAAGAUCAGCUGGGCACACUAUGAUGCUUUUGAUUUUGUCUAGGAACCUGUCACUUCAGGAUAAUUUCUGAAGACAAAGUCUGUUUCCCGUUUGGUAGGUGACCUGUUUAAUGUUUUCCCUGUGUCUGGGAACUCCUUAGUGUAAUUAGCGACCUUUGAACUCCGCAACUAAUCCUGAGCUAUUUUGUAUUCCUUACUCAUCUUUAAGGCUGGACCUUUCUUUUAUUCAGAGUCCUCUGCCACAAUUAAAGAAGAAACAGCUGCAUUUCAAAGGGAUUCCGAUUCCAGAAGCUUAAUCGUGAUUGACAUGUUCUUAUUCUAAGCUAUAAGACACUCUAAGAGUCCUUUCUUGGGUUAAAACUUCAAUCAUUUUCUAAAAAAAUUAUCUCACUACGGAUUUUAUUCAUUUUCUUUGAUAACUAUUCUUUGCAUUUUUUAACUCGAAAGAUGCUUUGCAUUUGCAGUGAAUAUGAGCAACUACUUCUAGUGAAAGAUUUGGAUGGUGUCAGUCCUGCUCUAGAUGGAAAAUUUCUAAAUUCCCUUUUAGUGCCAAAAUAUGAUUACGAAAUCUGAUGUCUAUCAUAUGGGUAAUUAUUCUUCCCUAAAUCCCAAAGGCAAAAGGAAAAAUAGCUAAAUUUCUGAAAAUGAACUCCAGAAAAGAUGGUUCGUGAUUUUGGUAAAAACUUUUCUUACUAAACAAUAUUUUAAAACUUUUUAAAGUCAGCAAUAUUGAAGUUAGGCAAUAUCCUGGUGGUAUUUUAUACUUUUAAAAUAAUCAACUCAAGUUUGAAGUAAAUAGGCUCAUCAGGAAUUCUUAUGAGAAUGUUUUAUUAUUUUUAUUAAACUUUCUGCCUAAUAAAAUAUUUAAAAUUUUUCA